Molecule: transfer RNA, 72 nt
Filed under: Camelus bactrianus (Bactrian camel)
Lineage: Eukaryota; Metazoa; Chordata; Mammalia; Artiodactyla; Camelidae
Also listed under: 2 other names
Rfam family: tRNA
About the family: Transfer RNA (tRNA) molecules are approximately 80 nucleotides in length.
Source: Rfam by way of RNAcentral
GAGUGUACGGCUCAGUGGUAGAGUGCGUGCUUAGCAUGCAGGAGGCUCUGGGUUCGAUCCCCAGUACUGUCA